This 675-nucleotide ribosomal RNA is filed under the name uncultured Bacteroidales bacterium. RNAcentral's name for it is "bacterial SSU rRNA". It matches the Rfam family "Bacterial small subunit ribosomal RNA", at positions 70 to 743 of the family's 1533-position model. The record is from RNAcentral. Lineage: Bacteria; Pseudomonadati; Bacteroidota; Bacteroidia; Bacteroidales.
GGAAGAAAGCUUGCUUUCUUUGCUGGCGACCGGCGCACGGGUGAGUAACACGUAUCCAACCUGCCCUUUACUCGGGGAUAGCCUUUCGAAAGAAAGAUUAAUACCCGAUGGGAUAAUCAUUCCGCAUGGUCUGAUUAUUAAAGGAUUCCGGUAAAGGAUGGGGAUGCGUUCCAUUAGGUUGUUGGUGAGGUAACGGCUCACCAAGCCUUCGAUGGAUAGGGGUUCUGAGAGGAAGGUCCCCCACAUUGGAACUGAGACACGGUCCAAACUCCUACGGGAGGCAGCAGUGAGGAAUAUUGGUCAAUGGGCGCGAGCCUGAACCAGCCAAGUAGCGUGAAGGAUGACUGCCCUAUGGGUUGUAAACUUCUUUUAUAUUAGAAUAAAGUGCAGUAUGUAUACUGUUUUGUAUGUAUAAUAUGAAUAAGGAUCGGCUAACUCCGUGCCAGCAGCCGCGGUAAUACGGAGGAUCCGAGCGUUAUCCGGAUUUAUUGGGUUUAAAGGGAGCGUAGGUGGACUGGUAAGUCAGUUGUGAAAGUUUGCGGCUCAACCGUAAAAUUGCAGUUGAUACUGUCAGUCUUGAGUACAGUAGAGGUGGGCGGAAUUCGUGGUGUAGCGGUGAAUGCUUAGAUAUCACGAAGACUCCGAUUGCGAAGGCAGCUCACUGACUGCAACUGA